GAUGAACGCUGACAGAAUGCUUAACACAUGCAAGUCGAUGGGGAAGUGGUGCUUGCACCAUGGUAACCAUGGCGGACGGGUGAGUAACGCGUAAGGAACUUGCCUGCGGGACUGGGAUAACAGCAGGAAACUGCUGAUAAUACCGGAUAAGGUCAUUAAGCUGCAUAGCUUAGUGAUGAAAGGAGACGCCUGCGGAGAGCCUUGCGUCCUAUUAGCUAGUUGGAGGGGUAACGGCCCACCAAGGCGAAGAUAGUUAGCCGGCCUGAGAGGGUGGACGGCCACAAGGGGACUGAGAUACGGCCCUUACUCCUACGGGAGGCAGCAGUGGGGAAUAUUGGACAAUGGGGGCAACCCUGAUCCAGCAAUUCUGUGUGCACGAAGACGGUUUUCGGAUUGUAAAGUGCUUUCAGCAGGGAAGAAGGAAGUGACGGUACCUGCAGAAGAAGCGACGGCUAAAUACGUG
This 463-nucleotide ribosomal RNA is filed under the name uncultured bacterium. RNAcentral's name for it is "partial 16S ribosomal RNA". It matches the Rfam family "Bacterial small subunit ribosomal RNA", at positions 28 to 507 of the family's 1533-position model. The record is from RNAcentral.